RNAcentral lists this ribosomal RNA (594 nucleotides) under Colletotrichum gloeosporioides. Its description in RNAcentral is "eukaryotic LSU rRNA". The stretch from base 230 to 383 matches the Rfam family "5.8S ribosomal RNA". Lineage: Eukaryota; Fungi; Ascomycota; Sordariomycetes; Glomerellales; Glomerellaceae. The record is from RNAcentral.
AGAGGAAGUAAAAGUCGUAACAAGGUCUCCGUUGGUGAACCAGCGGAGGGAUCAUUACUGAGUUUACGCUCUACAACCCUUUGUGAACAUACCUACAACUGUUGCUUCGGCGGGUAGGGUCUCCGCGACCCUCCCGGCCUCCCGCCUCCGGGCGGGUCGGCGCCCGCCGGAGGAUAACCAAACUCUGAUUUAACGACGUUUCUUCUGAGUGGUACAAGCAAAUAAUCAAAACUUUUAACAACGGAUCUCUUGGUUCUGGCAUCGAUGAAGAACGCAGCGAAAUGCGAUAAGUAAUGUGAAUUGCAGAAUUCAGUGAAUCAUCGAAUCUUUGAACGCACAUUGCGCCCGCCAGCAUUCUGGCGGGCAUGCCUGUUCGAGCGUCAUUUCAACCCUCAAGCUCUGCUUGGUGUUGGGGCCCUACAGCCGAUGUAGGCCCUCAAAGGUAGUGGCGGACCCUCCCGGAGCCUCCUUUGCGUAGUAACUUUACGUCUCGCACUGGGAUCCGGAGGGACUCUUGCCGUAAAACCCCCCAAUUUUCCAAAGGUUGACCUCGGAUCAGGUAGGAAUACCCGCUGAACUUAAGCAUAUCAAUAA